UAGCUCAGUUGGUAGAGCAGCCGAUUUGUAAUCGGCAGGUCGCGGGUUCAAAUCCUGUCGCCAGCUCCA
This 69-nucleotide transfer RNA is filed under the name Gammaproteobacteria bacterium. RNAcentral describes it as "tRNA-Thr". It matches the Rfam family "tRNA". From Rfam's summary of the family: Transfer RNA (tRNA) molecules are approximately 80 nucleotides in length. Lineage: Bacteria; Pseudomonadati; Pseudomonadota; Gammaproteobacteria. The record is from RNAcentral.